Molecule: long non-coding RNA, 776 nt
Organism: Pteronotus mesoamericanus
Lineage: Eukaryota; Metazoa; Chordata; Mammalia; Chiroptera; Mormoopidae
Exons: 4
Source: RefSeq, a predicted model, not a curated record
CCCUCCCAGGUGUUUAUACCGGGCAGUGCUCUCUGGUAAACUUUCUGCUCGCCAGUCUUCACCUCGAAUCUGCUCCCUGGGGAGCAUGAGCUGUGGCCGUUGGGACCAGGCAUGGAUCCCAGCAAGUGGGUGCCAGGGUGGGAGUCUGGAGUUAGAGCACUGGCCACGCGGACCCCUUCACCGUUGACACAAGAUACUUGUAUGAUGGUCAGAGCCCAUAUUCGGAUCCCCCUGCAUCUCUGGCACUGUCACACGUGGCAGGUAUCUACGGCUAGUAAAGCACCGUGUCUCCUUUAAAGAUGCGCAGUUGGGGGACAGGGUUCCAGGACACCGCUGGGUUAGCGAACACACAGACCUGUGAGAGUGGCCCCAGGAGAAAACAUGGAAGCUCCCUUCCUGGCUCACAGCUUCCAAAACCUCUGGAAUCUCCUGAGCGCAGAGAGUGAGGAAGAUGUGUUAUGUCAGUAAGGGGACACCGGGAAAGCACCGAAGGACGGGGCUGAUUACCAGGAGACCCAGCCUUGUGACUAGAGGGCUGGAACUUUCAGUGCCCCUGCGACCUCUGCAGAGAGCAGACUGAUUGUCAGUGGAUUCAGAGAACUGGGCCGGCGAACACAUGGAGCUGCUCGGAGAGGGGCCCCUGGAGAGGGCGUGACAGCUCUGGGCCCUGUCCCCAACCUUGCCCUUGACAUCUCUUCCACCUGGCUGUUCCUCACACACACUCUUUCACAAUAAACUGGCAAUUUACUAAGUAAAAUGUUUUUCUGAGUUCUGUG